RNAcentral lists this ribosomal RNA (482 nucleotides) under uncultured bacterium. Its description in RNAcentral is "bacterial SSU rRNA". It matches the Rfam family "Bacterial small subunit ribosomal RNA", at positions 33 to 507 of the family's 1533-position model. The record is from RNAcentral.
ACGCUGGCGGCGUGCUUAACACAUGCAAGUCGAACGAUGAAGCUGGAGCUUGCUCCAGUGGAUUAGUGGCGAACGGGUGAGUAACACGUGAGCAAUCUGCCCUUGACUCUGGGAUAACUGCGGGAAACUGUAGCUAAUACCGGAUACGACACCUUGGGGCAUCCCGAGGUGUGGAAAGAAUUUCGGUCAAGGAUGAGCUCGCGGCCUAUCAGCUAGUUGGUGAGGUAAAGGCUCACCAAGCCAACGAUCUGUAGCUGGUCUGAGAGGAUGACCAGCCACAUUGGGACUGAGACACGGCCCAAACUCCUACGGGAGGCAGCAGUGGGGAAUCUUGGACAAUGGGCGCAAGCCUGAUCCAGCCAUUCCGCGUGAGUGAAGAAGGCCUUCGGGUUGUAAAGCUCUUUCGCAAGGGAAGAAAACUUAGCCACUAACAUUGGCUGAGGUUGACGGUACCUUGAUAAGAAGCACCGGCUAACUACGUG